GUGCUCGCUUUGGCAGCACAAUACUAAAAUUGGAAGGAUACAGAGAAGAUUACUAGCAUGGCCCCUGCACAAGGAUGUCACGCAAAUUCAUGAAGCGUUCAAUAUUUUU
Molecule: small nuclear RNA, 109 nt
Organism: Microtus ochrogaster (prairie vole)
Lineage: Eukaryota; Metazoa; Chordata; Mammalia; Rodentia; Cricetidae
Source: Ensembl